UCGGGAAUUUUGGGCAAUGGGCGCAAGCCUGAUCCAGCCAUGCCGCGUGCGGGAAGAAGGCCUUCGGGUUGUAAACCGCUUUUGUCAGGGAAGAAACGCUCUGGGCUAAUACCCUGGGGUAAUGACGGUACCUGAAGAAUAAGCACCGGCUAACUACGUGCCAGCAGCCGCGGUAAUACGUAGGGUGCAAGCGUUAAUCGGAAUUACUGGGCGUAAAGCGUGCGCAGGCGGUUAUGCAAGACAGAUGUGAAAUCCCCGGGCUCAACCUGGGAACUGCAUUUGUGACUGUAUAGCUAGAGUACGGUAGAGCGGGCUGGCAAGGCGCAU
Molecule: ribosomal RNA, 327 nt
Filed under: uncultured bacterium
Lineage: Bacteria
Description: bacterial SSU rRNA
Rfam family: Bacterial small subunit ribosomal RNA
Source: RNAcentral